UACGUAGGGGGCGAGCGUUGUCCGGAAUUACUGGGCGUAAAGAGCUCGUAGGCGGUUUGUCGCGUCGUCUGUGAAAUCCUCCAGCUUAACUGGGGGCGUGCAGGCGAUACGGGCAUAACUUGAGUACUGUAGGGGAGACUGGAAUUCCUGGUGUAGCGGUGAAAUGCGCAGAUAUCAGGAGGAACACCGGUGGCGAAGGCGGGUCUCUGGGCAGUAACUGACGCUGAGGAGCGAAAGCAUGGGGAGCGAACAGG
RNAcentral lists this ribosomal RNA (254 nucleotides) under uncultured bacterium. RNAcentral describes it as "partial 16S ribosomal RNA". It matches the Rfam family "Bacterial small subunit ribosomal RNA", at positions 524 to 776 of the family's 1533-position model. The record is from RNAcentral.